AGUGAACGCUGGCGGUAGGCCUAACACAUGCAAGUCGAACGGCAGCACAGUAAGAGUUUGCUCUUACGGGUGGCGAGUGGCGGACGGGUGAGGAAUACAUCGGAAUCUACUUUUUCGUGGGGGAUAACGUAGGGAAACUUAUGCUAAUACCGCAUACGACCUACGGGUGAAAGCAGGGGAUCUUCGGACCUUGCGCGAUUGAAUGAGCCGAUGUCGGAUUAGCUAGUUGGCGGGGUAAAGGCCCACCAAGGCGACGAUCCGUAGCUGGUCUGAGAGGAUGAUCGGCCACACUGGAACUGAGACACGGUCCAGACUCCUACGGGAGGCAGCAGUGGGGAAUAUUGGACAAUGGGCGCAAGCCUGAUCCAGCCAUACCGCGUGGGUGAAGAAGGCCUUCGGGUUGUAAAGCCCUUUUGUUGGGAAAGAAAAGCAGCAGAUUAAUACCCCGCUGUUCUGACGGUACCCAAAGAAUAAGCACCGGCUAACUUCGUG
Molecule: ribosomal RNA, 492 nt
Filed under: uncultured bacterium
Lineage: Bacteria
Description: partial 16S ribosomal RNA
Rfam family: Bacterial small subunit ribosomal RNA
Source: RNAcentral